RNAcentral lists this long non-coding RNA (1402 nucleotides) under Salmo trutta (river trout). RNAcentral describes it as "lncRNA (ENSSTUG00000001034.1)". The record is from RNAcentral. Lineage: Eukaryota; Metazoa; Chordata; Actinopteri; Salmoniformes; Salmonidae.
UCUUUCAGGUCUCCAACAAAGGUGAGUGGAAGAUUAAACAUGAUUUUCACCGCCUUUCUGUUUCUGCUCAUAUGUCAACACAUGGAUACAAAUAGGCAUUUCUCUCUCUGUAUUCCAGGGGUCCCCUACCAAUAACGUGUCCCCGACCUCCACCCCCGCCAAAUCUGCAGCCGCCGUGCCCACCAUAGCGCCGCCACCUGAAGAAGCCACCGAUUCUCUCUUAGAUCUGGACCCUCUCUCCUCCUCUGGUCCGUCAGUAGGAGCCUCAGCAGCUCCUACAUCCUGGGGAGGUAAUGUCCCACAUCAAAACGUGAUACAUAGCUUGAUUAUUAAUGAAAACGUAGUUACAUUAUCUAAUUAACAGUCAUGUAAUUGCAUUUUUGCUCUUCUGGGGAUGCUGCCACAGACCUCCUUGGAUCAGGUGAGUGCUAUCCCACAGUGCUUCUGGUAUUAACCUCUCUAGUGUGUUAACAGUAUGUGUCAGUUCCUCUAGAUCGCCCACUGUGUUUCACAGUGUUGCUCUAGUCUAAGGAAGCAGUCUCUUUCUCUUCCUUUCUUUCUCUCUUUCUCCUUUCUUUCCCUCCCCCGCAUUUCCUUAUUGGUUUUGGUUCAUACGGGGACUUUAUGUUUUUGGUUGCUUUGGUUCUAAUGGGAUGGUUGUUUUUUUGAAAUUGGAUUGAUUUGGUACCUUCGUUUCUUUUAAAUGGGAUUUUUUUUGGUUGCUUUGGAUCCUAUGGGGUAUUUUGGGUUGAUUCAUGGGGUUGUUUUGGUACCUUGUUUUGGGGUUGGUUGGUACACCUUUUGGGUACCUGCAGAAAUGGGCGAGUCCAUGCUUCCUGACUCCACCCUAGCUGUAGAACCCGUCCCCUCUGCCGCUGGUGUAACGUCCACCCCUGCAGCUGCGGAGCCAGGAGUCUCUCUGGCUCCUCCCCCUAGUGCGGCCGCCGCCCCCACCCCCGGCGCGACGAAUAUGGAUCUGCUGGGAGAUGCAUUUUCGACCCCUGUUCCCACAUCUGAUGCCUCUGCUGAGGGCGGAGCUCCGGCCUCCACGCCAACCCCAGCUGCCGACGUUGCUGCCGACCCCUUUGCCCCCUCUGGUGGUAGCUCAGAUGCAGUAGGCCCAGGGCUGGACCUGUUUGCCAUGAUGCCUAUGGAGAACAACUGCUUUAACUCAGUGGCGCCCCCUUCUGCCCCCUCAUCCAUCAUCACAGCACCUAUCCCUCCACCACCCCCAUCGAUAGACCUCUUGAGUGGUAAAUGUUUAUGCACGUGUGUGUGGUACUUCUUAACCUUUGCUUUUGUCCCCUUUCGUCCCUGUCCUCUACUCUGCAUCCAUGUCCUCUCCUCUUCUGCGUUUUUUCAGUCGACUGCAUUUUUCCUGGGUGUCCUUUUCUCUUUGUGA